GGGCGCUUGAGGCUGUAUGCCGAAAGCGUUUUGUGGACGGUAUACAGCAGAAAGCCCCUGGAGAUUUUUUUAUCAAUCAACCAAGGGCUCUACUGUAAUGCCUCAACAACAUUAUAGUAGCCUGAUAAUUUAGAUAUGUGUACAUCCUACCGGAAAAGAUA
Non-coding RNA from Salmonella enterica, 161 nucleotides. NCBI's taxonomy places the organism in Bacteria, Pseudomonadati, Pseudomonadota, Gammaproteobacteria, Enterobacterales, Enterobacteriaceae. The record is from Rfam.